This 28-nucleotide small RNA is filed under the name Bombyx mori (domestic silkworm). Its description in RNAcentral is "ovarian small RNA-33931". Lineage: Eukaryota; Metazoa; Arthropoda; Insecta; Lepidoptera; Bombycidae. The record is from RNAcentral.
UGCGACAAUCUUCUUCGCCGCUGCGAUU